RNAcentral lists this unclassified non-coding RNA (324 nucleotides) under uncultured fungus. RNAcentral describes it as "partial contains 5.8S ribosomal RNA, internal transcribed spacer 2, and large subunit ribosomal RNA". The stretch from base 1 to 52 matches the Rfam family "5.8S ribosomal RNA", at positions 103 to 154 of the family's 154-position model. The record is from RNAcentral. Lineage: Eukaryota; Fungi.
AACGCACCUUGCGCUCUCUGGUAUUCCGGAGAGCAUGCCUGUUUGAGUGUCAUGAACUCUUCAACCCACCGGUUCCUUGUUGGAUCGAGUUGGUGUUUGGAUCUUGAGUGUUGCUGGCUUCUUUUUGAAAAUUAAGAGGCGUAGCUCAUUCGUAAUACAUUAGCAUCUCAACUUCGAACUUCGGAUUGACUCAGCGUUAUAGACUAUUCGCUGAGGACACAAGCAAUUGUGGCCGAAUUAGAUAACUAGAAGCUUCUAACCCCCCUACUAGUCAAAACUAUAAGAUUAGACCUCAGAUCAGGCAGGAUUACCCGCUGAACUUAA